UCAGUACGGUCGGAAAUCGUACGUAGAGUGUAAAGGCAAAAGAGAGCUUGAUUGCAAGACAUACAGGUCGAGCAAGGAUGAAAAUCGGACUUAGUGAUCCGGUGGUUCUGCGUGGAAGGGCCAUCGCCCAACGGAUAAAAGCUACCCUGGGGAUAACAGGCUUAUCUCCCCCAUGAGUCCACAUCGACGGGGAGGUUUGGCACCUCGAUGUCGGCUCAUCACAUCCUGGGGCUGUAGUAGGUCCCAAGGGUUGGGCUGUUCGCCCAUUAAAGUGGUACGCGAGCUGGGUUCAG
This 293-nucleotide ribosomal RNA is filed under the name Clostridioides difficile. RNAcentral's name for it is "partial 23S ribosomal RNA". It matches the Rfam family "Bacterial large subunit ribosomal RNA", at positions 2322 to 2614 of the family's 2925-position model. Lineage: Bacteria; Bacillati; Bacillota; Clostridia; Peptostreptococcales; Peptostreptococcaceae. The record is from RNAcentral.